ACACACACACACACAAUGGAAGUUCCAUUAAAAAGAAUACUUUGGGGCUGGUAAUAUGGCCUAGUGGCAACAGAGCUUGCCUCGUAUACAUUAAGCCCUGGGUUCGAUUCCCCAGCACCACAUAUACAGAAAACGGCCAGAAGCGGCGCUGUGGCUCAAGU
This is a long non-coding RNA of Perognathus longimembris pacificus (Pacific pocket mouse), 161 nucleotides long. RefSeq lists it as uncharacterized. The record is from RefSeq and is a predicted model, not a curated record. NCBI's taxonomy places the organism in Eukaryota, Metazoa, Chordata, Mammalia, Rodentia, Heteromyidae. The transcript has 3 exons.